Non-coding RNA from Capsicum annuum, 106 nucleotides. Lineage: Eukaryota; Viridiplantae; Streptophyta; Magnoliopsida; Solanales; Solanaceae. The record is from Rfam.
UGAUAAUGGUGAGGGUAAUUUCUAAGAAUCCCCUUAAAUCUUUCCUAGCUUGGUAAAUUUUUUAUCUUUUUUUCUGCCUAAAACUCUAAAUCUCACUUCUUAAAUA